AAGUCGUAACAAGGUUUCCGUAGGUGAACCUGCGGAAGGAUCAUUAAUGAAUUUUGAACUUGGGUUUACGAUGCUGGCCUUCCGAGGCAACUGUGCUCAACCCUUGCUCAUUUCAAUUCGUUCAACCCCUGUGCACCUUUCAGUGGCUUCAAUCUUUAAGGGGCUUUUUUUUUUUGGACCUUGUAGUCGGAUAACAACGACUUGAGGAAAAAGGAAUAGUCCUUGAUUGGCCAUGAUCUUUUUACAUACACUAUAAAAGUUUAGAAUGUUCAACUUGCGAUUAAACGCAUUUUAAUAUAACUUUCAACAACGGAUCUCUUGGCUCUCGCAUCGAUGAAGAACGCAGCGAAAUGCGAUAAGUAAUGUGAAUUGCAGAAUUCAGUGAAUCAUCGAAUCUUUGAACGCACCUUGCGCUCCUUGGUAUUCCGAGGAGCAUGCCUGUUUGAGUGUCAUGAAUCUCUCAAACCUUUAGUUUUGUUAACUCAAAACUUGAAGGCUUUGGACUUGGGGGCUUGCUGGCGAUUUUAUUAUUGUCGGCUCCUCUCUAAAUGCAUUAGCUGGAUCUUUCAACACAAGUAAUCCUCGGUGUGAUAAUUAUCUACGCCGUGUUUUGUAUACUUUGUUGCGUGUGCUACCCCUUAUGCUUAGCAUUGGGUGUUUGUAGUCGCGGGCUUGAUUCAUUUCAGCCAAAGUCAUCAAGCUUAUAAUCGUCUCUGCAAAAUGAGACAAUUCAUUUUUUGACAUCUGACCUCAAAUCAGGUAGGACUACCCGCUGAACUUAA
This 782-nucleotide ribosomal RNA is filed under the name uncultured fungus. RNAcentral's name for it is "eukaryotic LSU rRNA". The stretch from base 299 to 452 matches the Rfam family "5.8S ribosomal RNA". The record is from RNAcentral. Lineage: Eukaryota; Fungi.